Molecule: ribosomal RNA, 402 nt
Filed under: uncultured prokaryote
Description: bacterial SSU rRNA
Rfam family: Bacterial small subunit ribosomal RNA
Source: RNAcentral
UGGGGAAUAUUUGACAAUGGGCGCAAGCCUGAUCCAGCCAUGCCGCGUGAGUGAUGAAGGCCUUAGGGUUGUAAAGCUCUUUUGUCCGGGACGAUAAUGACGGUACCGGAAGAAUAAGCCCCGGCUAACUUCGUGCCAGCAGCCGCGGUAAUACGAAGGGGGCUAGCGUUGCUCGGAAUCACUGGGCGUAAAGGGCGCGUAGGCGGCCGAUUAAGUCGGGGGUGAAAGCCUGUGGCUCAACCACAGAAUUGCCUUCGAUACUGGUUGGCGUGAGACCGGAAGAGGACAGCGGAACUGCGAGUGUAGAGGUGAAAUUCGUAGAUAUUCGCAAGAACACCAGUGGCGAAGGCGGCUGUCUGGUCCGGUUCUGACGCUGAGGCGCGAAAGCGUGGGGAGCAAACA